GUUGUUAGUUCUCCUUCUUCAUAGCAUUUGUUAAAAACUUCAACAGUAAAUUCUUUUAAAUUACUCCAAAAAGUGCGAUAAAAUUCUACACUUAGCCCAUCUAUUCCUGGAGAUUUAUUUAAUUUCAUUUUAAAUAUUGCCUUAGUGCAUUCUUCUACUGUUAAAGGGGCCCCCAAGGAUUCACUUUCUAUUUCUGAUAGUUUGUGAUCAAUGUUGGUUUCAUUUAUAGAAUUUUUUAUAUCUUUUAAAUUCUGAGAAGUGCUUUUAUAUAGAUUUUCAUAGUAUGAUCUUUCUAUGUUUAGAAUUUCUGAGUGUUCUGUAACUAUUUUCCCAUCUUUAUUUUUAAGCGCUGUGAUACUCUUUUUGGUUUGUCUUGAUUUUUCAAGGCCCAGGAAGAAUUUAGUGUUUUUCUCUCCUUCUUCUAACCAUUGUACUCGGGAUCUUAUUUGUGCACCUUUAACUUUAUUUAAGUAGAGGUUUUCAAGUUUUUCUUCCAAUGGUUUUAAUUUCUUUUUCCAUAGUU
Molecule: long non-coding RNA, 523 nt
Filed under: Mytilus galloprovincialis (Mediterranean mussel)
Lineage: Eukaryota; Metazoa; Mollusca; Bivalvia; Mytilida; Mytilidae
Source: RNAcentral